UGUUGGACACAGUAUGUGCUCGAUCACCAAGUCAAGUCACUAAGGAGAAGAUUUAACCCCUGUGAAUCCCUCGUGGUAGAAAGGAGACAUUACUGGUUUGACAUUGGAGGGUGCUCCACAAAAUACUAUCAACUGGGCAAGCAUAGAAAGGAUAUUUUCUGCACUUUCAACUUACCAAUAACAGAGCUGACUGACAGUAGAAGAAAUUGCCAAACAGAAAUAUCUUUAGAAAGCAUAAUUCAGUUCUCACACAGGCUUACCUACUCAAACAAUUCAUGUGUCUGAAAAUCCUUUAAUUUCAACAAAGUCUGAGGACCACCUAUCCAGCAGUGCCACUAAGAUGCAAAUUUCUUUAAAUGGAAUAAUAGAGAGAUUAUCAUGUUGUCUAUGUCACAAUCCCAACUCCUAGCAAUGGUCUGCAGAGCCAGCUUAGAUAUGAAAGGAAACACACUAAUGGACCCCAGAGGAGCUUCAACAAGCAGGAGCAAAGAGCAUCAGCUGCAUGGGUAUUGUUGCUUCAUUCUCCUCGCAAGGCAAAACAACUCACACUCGUGCUGGAUCUCACAGUCAACUACUACAAGAGCUAAGGGAAGAGUUUCUUUGGGAAGGGACUGAUCCAUCACCCUCUGGCAGCCCCUGAAGGACAUUCUACAGCCUUCUCAAAGAGAGAGCUUCAUCCAGUUGACACAGAUGCCAACAGCCAUGGCCAUCUCCUUGAAGAACCCGCUGAAAGAUCGGAGUUUGGUAUCAGGUAAUAUUGGCAUUCCAUCCCACCUGAUCUCCACUUGCCAUUGGCCAGCCUACACCACCCAUAUAUCAUCCACGGUCAAGAUGCUUGUUGACCAGGACAAGGCAAAGAUUGAGAGGUUCCUUAAAACACCCCAAGGAAAAGCUCAAGAACCGCCACACAGCAGUGAGAGCAGCCGGUUGCAUAGCAUGCUAAAGAAGCCGAGCUGGGGAUCACAGGCGGCAGGAGUGACCGGAGCAAGUCCGGCAGUAUCACGAUUCAGCACCAUCAUUACUCCCUUUGGGGUUAGUAAGGACUCAUCAACCGAUUUUGGUGGCCAGGGUGCACUGAGUGGCUACUCACAUUUGGGACCUUCACUGACGGGGUCCCGCUUUGUAAUUUUUUCCAAAAGAAGGGCCCCUCUCCGUGUGUUACCAAUGAAGCUGCCAGAGGCCCCCAAAAGCAGGAAGAGCAAGGACUAGGUCAGUGGCCUUCAGCUUCUGUGCACUGCAUUAAAUGCCUUUGGCCAUGAAUGUUUUGUCAUUGUAUGAAUUAUUUCAGACAUCUGAAAGGAUGGGUGAUGUAUGUGGCGUAUAUGUUAUUUCCUGGUUUGGCUGGGUGGAUUGGACUCAGCAAUGAUAGGAGUACAUUCUUUUGUGGUUUUAGACUUCAAUUCCUAGAAUUCUC
This 1414-nucleotide long non-coding RNA is filed under the name Pogona vitticeps (central bearded dragon). Its description in RNAcentral is "lncRNA (ENSPVIG00000012716.1)". The record is from RNAcentral. Lineage: Eukaryota; Metazoa; Chordata; Lepidosauria; Squamata; Agamidae.